UACGUAGGGUGCAAGCGUUAAUCGGAGUUACUGGGCGUAAAGCGUGCGCAGGCGGUUGUGUAAGUUUGUCGUGAAAUCCCCGGGCUCAACCUGGGAAUUGCGAUGAAGACUGCACGGCUAGAGUGUGUCAGAGGGGGGUAGAAUUCCACGUGUAGCAGUGAAAUGCGUAGAUAUGUGGAGGAACACCGAUGGCGAAGGCAGCCCCCUGGGAUAACACUGACGCUCAUGCACGAAAGCGUGGGGAGCAAACAGG
This 253-nucleotide ribosomal RNA is filed under the name uncultured bacterium. RNAcentral's name for it is "partial 16S ribosomal RNA". It matches the Rfam family "Bacterial small subunit ribosomal RNA", at positions 524 to 776 of the family's 1533-position model. The record is from RNAcentral.